GACGAACGCUGGCGGCGUGCUUAACACAUGCAAGUCGAACGGAAAGGCCCUGCUUUUGUGGGGUGCUCGAGUGGCGAACGGGUGAGUAACACGUGAGUAACCUGCCCUUGACUUUGGGAUAACUUCAGGAAACUGGGGCUAAUACCGGAUAGGAGCUCCUGCUGCAUUGUGGGGGUUGGAAAGUUUCGGCGGUUGGGGAUGGACUCGCGGCUUAUCAGCUUGUUGGUGGGGUAGUGGCUUACCAAGGCUUUGACGGGUAGCCGGCCUGAGAGGGUGACCGGCCACAUUGGGACUGAGAUACGGCCCAGACUCCUACGGGAGGCAGCAGUGGCGAAUAUUGCACAAUGGGCGGAAGCCUGAUGCAGCAACGCCGCGUGCGGGAUGACGGCCUUCGGGUUGUAAACCGCUUUCGCCUGUGACGAAGCGUGAGUGACGGUAAUGGGUAAAGAAGCACCGGCUAACUACGUG
RNAcentral lists this ribosomal RNA (468 nucleotides) under uncultured bacterium. RNAcentral describes it as "partial 16S ribosomal RNA". It matches the Rfam family "Bacterial small subunit ribosomal RNA", at positions 28 to 507 of the family's 1533-position model. The record is from RNAcentral.